RNAcentral lists this ribosomal RNA (253 nucleotides) under uncultured bacterium. Its description in RNAcentral is "partial 16S ribosomal RNA". It matches the Rfam family "Bacterial small subunit ribosomal RNA", at positions 524 to 776 of the family's 1533-position model. The record is from RNAcentral.
UACGGAGGAUCCAAGCGUUAUCCGGAAUCAUUGGGUUUAAAGGGUCCGUAGGCGGUUUUAUAAGUCAGUGGUGAAAUCCGGCAGCUCAACUGUCGAACUGCCAUUGAUACUGUAGGACUUGAAUUAUUGUGAAGUAACUAGAAUAUGUAGUGUAGCGGUGAAAUGCUUAGAUAUUACAUGGAAUACCCAUUGCGAAGGCAGGUUACUAACAAUUGAUUGACGCUGAUGGACGAAAGCGUGGGGAGCGAACAGG